This 235-nucleotide ribosomal RNA is filed under the name uncultured bacterium. Its description in RNAcentral is "partial 16S ribosomal RNA". It matches the Rfam family "Bacterial small subunit ribosomal RNA", at positions 96 to 334 of the family's 1533-position model. The record is from RNAcentral.
UGGCGGACGGGUGAGUAAUGUCUGGGAAACUGCCUGAUGGAGGGGGAUAACUACUGGAAACGGUAGCUAAUACCGCAUAACGUCGCAAGACCAAAGAGGGGGACCUUAGGGCCUCUUGCCAUCGGAUGUGCCCAGAUGGGAUUAGCUAGUAGGUGGGGUAAAGGCUCACCUAGGCGACGAUCCCUAGCUGGUCUGAGAGGGUGACCAGCCACACUGGAACUGAGACACGGUCCAG